GACGAACGCUGGCGGCGUGCUUAACACAUGCAAGUCGAACGGGUGCAGCAAUGCACCAGUGGCGCACGGGUGAGUAAUGUAUCGCUAACGUGCCCCGGAGCCUGGGAUAGCUGUCCGAAAGGGCAGGUAAUACCGGAUGAGACCACGGAGAGGCAUCUCUCAGUGCUCAAAGCCGCAAGGCACUCUGGGAGCGGGCGAUAUCGUAUCAGCAGUUGGCGGGUAACGGCCCACCAAGGCUGCGACGCGUAGCUGGUCUGAGAGGACGGCCAGCCACAUCGGGACUGAGACACUGCCCGGACUCCUACGGGGGGCUGCAGUAACGAAUCUUCCGCAAUGCACGAAAGUGUGACGGAGCGACGCCGCGUGGAGG
This 370-nucleotide ribosomal RNA is filed under the name uncultured bacterium. RNAcentral's name for it is "bacterial SSU rRNA". It matches the Rfam family "Bacterial small subunit ribosomal RNA", at positions 28 to 407 of the family's 1533-position model. The record is from RNAcentral.